Molecule: non-coding RNA, 190 nt
Filed under: Bacillus sp. (in: firmicutes)
Lineage: Bacteria; Bacillati; Bacillota; Bacilli; Caryophanales; Bacillaceae
Also listed under: 1 other name
Source: RNAcentral
UUGAAUACGUUUAGGAUAGGUGCGCAUCAAAGGAAAGAAUUGCGCUGAAAAGGGAAGUACGGUUAAAAUCCGUCACGGUACCCGCCACUGUAUGGGGGAGUUUAUUGCAAAUGUCACUGAAAUUUUUUCGGGAAGACGCAAUCGAACGAUGAGCCUUAGUCAGGAGACCUGCCUGUGCCUAAUGACUUCA